RNAcentral lists this ribosomal RNA (537 nucleotides) under uncultured eukaryote. RNAcentral describes it as "bacterial SSU rRNA". It matches the Rfam family "Eukaryotic small subunit ribosomal RNA", at positions 21 to 549 of the family's 1831-position model. The record is from RNAcentral.
UAGUCAUAUGCUUGUCUCAGAGAUUAAGCCAUGCAUGUCUAAGUAUAAGCGAUCUUAUACAGCGAAACUGCGAAUGGCUCAUUAAAUCAGUUAUAGUCUACUUGAUCGUAUCUUCUUACAUGGAUAACCGUAGUAAAUCUAGAGCUAAUACAUGCUAAAAAUCCCGGACGCGGCAACGCGGAAGGGACGAGUUUAUUAGAUUAAAAACCGACACCUCUCCGCGAGGGGAGGUAGCACAGGUGAUUCACAGUAACCGAUCGGAUCGUCGGCCCCGCCGACGACGAUGCAUACGAGUUUCUGCCCUAUCAACUUUAGAUGGUAGGAUAGAGGCCUACCAUGGUGGUGACGGGUGACGGGGAAUUGGGUUCGAUUCCGGAGAGGGAGCCUGAGAGAUGGCUACCACUUCCAAGGAAGGCAGCAGGCGCGCAAAUUACCCAAUCCCGACACGGGGAGGUAGUGACAGUAAAUAACGAUGCGGGGCCGUAUGGUCUAGCAAUUGGAAUGAGAGGAAUGUAAAUGCGUUAGCGAGUAACGAUU